ACAUACGACCAUAGGGUGUGGAGAACAGGGCUUCCCGUCCGCUCAGCCGUACUUAAGCCACACGCCAGUGAGUUAGUAGUUGGGUGUGUGACCACCAGCGAAUCCUCACUGUUGUAUGUUU
Molecule: ribosomal RNA, 121 nt
Filed under: Penicillium nalgiovense
Lineage: Eukaryota; Fungi; Ascomycota; Eurotiomycetes; Eurotiales; Aspergillaceae
Source: RNAcentral